GGAAGUUCCCAGGCUAAGGGUUGAAAUCAGAGCUGCAGCUCCCGGCCUACAUCACAGCCACAGCACCGCCGGAUCUAAGCUGCAUCUUUGACCUACACCGCAGCUCACAGCAAUGCUGGAUACUUAACCCACUGAGCGGGGCCAGAGAUUGAACCCUCAUCCUCAUGGAUGCUAGUCGGGUUCAUAACCUGCUAAGCCACAACACGAACUCCCCGAAAGCCUUUUAAUGGAGUUGCCAACGUGGCUCAGUAGUCAACGAACCCGACUAGUAUCCAUGAGGACACGAGUUCGAUCCCUGGCCUCGCUCAGUGAAUUAAGGAUCCAGCAUUGCAGUGAGAACUAUGGUGUAGGUCCCAGACAUGGCUCAGAUUCCUCACUGCUGUAGCUGUGGCAUUGGGCCGGCAGCUCAAGCUCCGAUUCAACCCCUAGCCUGGGAACCUCCAUGUGCCGUGAGUGUAGCCCUAAAAAGACAAAAAAACAAAAAAACACUAAUGAUUUUGUUUACUCUUCAUAGUUCUAUGAAGGCUGAUUCUGUUAAGUUGAAUUUACUGAGAUAAGAACCUACAAUAGGAGGAUAGAUUUAUUUUUGAGAAAACUGAUGCUAAGCUUUGACUUCUGCUACUAUUCAGUGACAUUCAGUGCAGAAAUAAUUGGUCAUCAGAACAUUAGAGAACCAGCCAUUGUUGUUUUGAAUGAUCUUGGUGCUUAUUAAGGCUUUGUUUCAAUCAGACUGCUGAAAUAAUUGAUGAUGACAUUAAUUAGUUUUGACCAGACACAUUUUUUUGUACUUUGGUAGUGGGCACUCUUCUUCUCUGAACAGGAUAUCAAAAUGAAAAAUCAAUGGAGAUGUUUAAAAAAAGCCUUGCUCUUUUCAAAGGGAAGCUCAUGAAUGAUUUCUUAGGCACAAGAGUUUUGAAUCACUCUAGUCCACCCUGCAUUCUUAGCUUUACCUAAUAAAUCAAGUUGACUAAAUAAGGCUGACAGAAAUUCAUUGGUGAAUUUGUCUGACAUUUUAUACUGGAGGAUGAAUGAAUAAGAUGAAUGGAAUCUAUUUUGAAAAAUGAAUUUCUGAAAGCAGGAGUGUCUGUGAUUUGUUGCACCUAGUGACUGUGAAUCUGGGGGUAAGACCUUGGUGUGUCGUUGAAAACCAGCCAGCCUUGGAGACACAAAGCAAGUGGAAAAUAAAAUGCUAAUAUCAGCUGUGAUCGUUGUAAAGAAUACAUAGUUCAAGAAAAUUUCAGGAGCUUUUGUGGGGUAUUUUUUGGCGAGGUAGUGUAAAUUUUUGGUGGUGUAGAGACAUUUUGGAGGAAUGCUUUGAGUUGAAAUGAAAAAUGUGAAGUGUUUGAGAAUGAAACUCAUGGCAUUUACAGUGAGUGGGAAAACAGAGGCUUUGAAAAUGGAAGUUUCUGCAACUGGUUCUCAUGCUGCCAUGCAAGGGUGUACCCGAGGAAGGAAUACACUCUCUCCGAGAUAUUUUAAUUUCUGCUUUUACAAGUUAAAAAAAAAAUAGUAAAAGAAGAAAUACCUACCUCAAAGAGUUUGAGAGAAAUGAUGAAUUUGGGGUAGAUAGUAAUUACUCAACAAAUGUGUCCUUCCUUUAAGGAAGUUUCUGGUAUUGUGCAGAUUGAGAAGGCAGCUGUUGAGAAAGAUCUCAGGGACAGCUGACGUUUAAAACCUCUUACAACAUCAAGUAUGGGAAUGGGGCUAGUUUAGAACUUGGUGUUUUUCAGGAAGGCAGAGAUGGGCUCUGCUCUUAGAAUGUGACAGUUACGGAUUUUUCCCAUGGCUGGAUCAAGUGUCAGUUAAUUGACCCUGGUUUAUGUUUGUUGUACGUCUCAAGAUGAGGCCCCAAGUCCCCUUGAGGUCAAUUAUAGGCAUAAGUAUUUAUAGUGGAGCAUUUGUGUUUCAGGAGUCCUCUGGCCCUGUUCUGGUCACACAGGCUAAUUAUCACCACCUUGAGACAGUGAAGUUGCCUUGGCGGCAGCCACCUAGCAAAUCAGUCAUAACACAUUGAGCCAGGGCACUUGGGAGCUUCCCGUCCCAGUACCCUCUGGCCUCGGUGUGGCCCACGGGGAAGUUGGUUACAUCAUUGUUGGUCAUAAGAUAGGUUCUGACAACUGACCAGGCUUUGAUACAUCCUGCUUACAUACUGAUAUUGAGCACACUUGAGGUCAUGGAACAAAGAGUCAGUGCCUGUGGUUUUAUGUUUCCUUCGUUUUUCUCCAUGUGCUGAUUGAGCACUAAGAGAAUAUUUAUUAUAUACUACACUCUAAGUGCCUUGUGUAUAUAAUAUACUUAGUUAACCCUCACAAGCUAUGAUGUAGGUGCUGUUAUUAUCCUCAUUUUACAGAGGCAGAAGGCAGUGGCACAGAGCAGUUGAGUAAUUUGCUCAAGAUCUCAUAAACAGAAGAGCAAUAAACAGAGGGUCAUCUCUUGACUACUGCUGUACCAGCCUUCUUUGCCAGUAAGAAAAUUAAGACAGUCAAAAAAGAACAUUAAGAGGUCCUUGGUGGCCUAGCAGUUAAGGAUUCAGUGUUGUCACUGCUUCGGCUCAGGUUUGAUCCUAGGCCGACUGGUUUGUUGCUGUGGGCGAGGCCAAAAAAAAAAAAAGAACAUUAAAGAAAAAAAAUACACAAAUCCCAUCUAUCCGGUAACAACCAUUCUCAGCACUUUGGUGCAUUUACUUCCAAAUCUCUUCCUUGAACUUUGAUGGAAAAUCCUCUGUCCCCAUUGCUAAUUCCAAGGCUAAUUAAGCAUUAUGAACAGUUUGAUAUGCGUUCCCAGAUGUAUAUGCAAACACAUGCGGAGGUAAUCCACACACCUUUUUUAAUGUCUUACUGUAUGCAUUGUUUUGCUAGGCACUUUUUCACUCAGUAUAUGCUGGACAUAUUGCUAUAUGUGUUGUGUAUAGUCUAACACAUAUUUUAAUUGACUAAUAUGAAUUGUGCUACUUUCAGAGGAUAACUAUACUCUCUUCUAGUGUACCCCUUUCACUGAUUGACAUUUAGAUUAAUUGUCCCACUUUCCCUAUGUCAACUUUAGUAGCUGUAUAUAUUUUACUGUAUAAAAGUACUCUAAUUUUCCUCUUAUAUGAUGGAUGCAGGUUAUUUGAAGGUACUAGGAUGAACCUUCUCAAAACUGAGGAUUUGAGUACAUCUUUACUUAUUUCCCAGUCCCAACCAAAAUGCCAAGACUAAAUGAUCACCCAGUCAUUUAAAAAAAAAAAAAAAAAAA
RNAcentral lists this long non-coding RNA (3234 nucleotides) under Sus scrofa (pig). Its description in RNAcentral is "lncRNA (ENSSSCG00000061408.1)". Lineage: Eukaryota; Metazoa; Chordata; Mammalia; Artiodactyla; Suidae. The record is from RNAcentral.